UGGGGAAUAUUGCACAAUGGGCGCAAGCCUGAUGCAGCCAUGCCGCGUGUAUGAAGAAGGCCUUCGGGUUGUAAAGUACUUUCAGCGGGGAGGAAGGGAGUAAAGUUAAUACCUUUGCUCAUUGACGUUACCCGCAGAAGAAGCACCGGCUAACUCCGUGCCAGCAGCCGCGGUAAUACGGAGGGUGCAAGCGUUAAUCGGAAUUACUGGGCGUAAAGCGCACGCUGGCGGUUUGUUAAGUCAGAUGUGAAAUCCCCGAGCUCAACCUGGGAACUGCAUCUGAUACUGGCGAGCUUGAGUCUCGUAGAGGGGGGUAGAAUUCCAGGUGUAGCGGUGAAAUGCGUAGAGAUCUGGAGGAAUACCGGUGGCGAAGACGGCCCCCUGGACGAAGACUGACGCUCAGGUGCGAAAGCGUGGGGAGCAAACAGG
This 429-nucleotide ribosomal RNA is filed under the name Chloroflexota bacterium. RNAcentral's name for it is "Chloroflexi bacterium partial 16S ribosomal RNA". It matches the Rfam family "Bacterial small subunit ribosomal RNA", at positions 355 to 776 of the family's 1533-position model. The record is from RNAcentral. Lineage: Bacteria; Bacillati; Chloroflexota.